UGAUAUGGUAUGGAAGUCCAGGUUGUACCCAUUCUACGUCCCUGGCACUAUGUAAGAGAAAGUCCAGGUUGUACCCAUUCUACGUCCCUGGCACAUUGGAAUGUUAUGAUAUGUUAUGUUAAGAGAAAGACCGAUUGUACCCAUUCUACGUCCCGGCACUUUGGAAUGUAGAGGACUAUUGGUGACAAUACCAUCCGAGAUGUGAUUUGUUGUGAUGUGUUGCAUUACAUGAUGGCAUGAG
Molecule: long non-coding RNA, 241 nt
Filed under: Manihot esculenta (cassava)
Lineage: Eukaryota; Viridiplantae; Streptophyta; Magnoliopsida; Malpighiales; Euphorbiaceae
Description: long non-coding RNA (MESC_LNC001141)
Source: RNAcentral